RNAcentral lists this transfer RNA (153 nucleotides) under Penicillium expansum. It matches the Rfam family "tRNA". Rfam says of the family: Transfer RNA (tRNA) molecules are approximately 80 nucleotides in length. Their secondary structure includes four short double-helical elements and three loops (D, anti-codon, and T loops). Further hydrogen bonds mediate the characteristic L-shaped molecular structure. tRNAs have two regions of fundamental functional importance: the anti-codon, which is responsible for specific mRNA codon recognition, and the 3' end, to which the tRNAs corresponding amino acid is attached (by aminoacyl-tRNA synthetases). tRNAs cope with the degeneracy of the genetic code in two manners: having more than one tRNA (with a specific anti-codon) for a particular amino acid; and 'wobble' base-pairing, i.e. permitting non-standard base-pairing at the 3rd anti-codon position. Lineage: Eukaryota; Fungi; Ascomycota; Eurotiomycetes; Eurotiales; Aspergillaceae. The record is from Rfam by way of RNAcentral.
GACAACAUGGCCGAGUGGUUAUGGCGCCUGGUGAGUUAUAAUUUUCUUACAGGUCUGCCAACAUACUAACCAUGCCUUAGACUUAAGCAUCACUAUUCUUAGUGACGAUUUCAGGUCCCGAGAGGGUCGAGGGUUCGAACCCCUCUGUUGUCA